This 494-nucleotide ribosomal RNA is filed under the name uncultured bacterium. RNAcentral describes it as "partial 16S ribosomal RNA". It matches the Rfam family "Bacterial small subunit ribosomal RNA", at positions 28 to 507 of the family's 1533-position model. The record is from RNAcentral.
GACGAACGCUGGCGGCGUGCUUAACACAUGCAAGUCGAACGGAAAGGCCUGCCUUCCCUUGUGGAUUGCGGGUACUCGAGUGGCGAACGGGUGAGUAACACGUGAGUGAUCUGCCCCCAACUUGGGUACAAGCCUGGGAAACUGGGUCUAAUUCCCGAUAGGACUGCAGGGUGGUGCCUGUGGUGGAAAACGAUUUUCUAGUGGUUGGGGAUGAGCUCGCGGCCUAUCAGCUUGUUGGUGGGGUAAUGGCCUACCAAGGCGGCGACGGGUAGCCGGCCUGAGAGGGUGGACGGCCACAUUGGGACUGAGAUACGGCCCAGACUCCUACGGGAGGCAGCAGUGGGGAAUAUUGCACAAUGGGCGGAAGCCUGAUGCAGCGACGCCGCGUGGGGGAUGACGGCCUUCGGGUUGUAAACUCCUUUCGACCGCGAGGAAGCCACCUGGUUGGAAGGGUGGUGACGGUAGUGGUAGAAGAAGCACCGGCUAACUACGUG